RNAcentral lists this non-coding RNA (45 nucleotides) under Schistosoma mattheei. The record is from RNAcentral. Lineage: Eukaryota; Metazoa; Platyhelminthes; Trematoda; Strigeidida; Schistosomatidae.
AUCCAGCUGAUGAAUCCCAAAUAGGACGAAACGUGCGUCCUAGAU